Molecule: non-coding RNA, 54 nt
Filed under: Arabidopsis thaliana (thale cress)
Lineage: Eukaryota; Viridiplantae; Streptophyta; Magnoliopsida; Brassicales; Brassicaceae
Source: RNAcentral
GAUUCCGCAACCUUGUAUCUCAAGCCUACAACAGUAUACGAACUCUCUUCUUAC